Lingula anatina is the source of this 293-nucleotide long non-coding RNA. NCBI's taxonomy places the organism in Eukaryota, Metazoa, Brachiopoda, Lingulata, Lingulida, Lingulidae. The record is from RefSeq and is a predicted model, not a curated record.
AGGGUGAGGCCAACAGGAUCAAAAGUACGAGAGAUGUGUUGGUCCAUUCUUAUACCAGCAAUCAUAGGGUGUCACUUGUGAUAGAAAAUAAGACAUCUAGCAAGACCUUGGUGAGGCUGGACUGCAGCAGGAGUACAAAUAGCAGCACAGACAGGCCUAGCCUGGAGUGUGAUAUUGAUGUACCAGCUGGACAACUUGUUCAUGGCCAUCACAUUCUACCAACAGAUGAGAAGAAGGAAUGGUUCUUUCACUGUGCCGAGAGUAUAUUGAAAUAAUCUCUUUAGCUCCAUAGG